RNAcentral lists this long non-coding RNA (285 nucleotides) under Mytilus galloprovincialis (Mediterranean mussel). The record is from RNAcentral. Lineage: Eukaryota; Metazoa; Mollusca; Bivalvia; Mytilida; Mytilidae.
UAGCCUAAACCGUUGGUUUUCCCGUUUGAAUGGUUUUUACACUAGUAAUUUUGGAGCCCUUUAUAGCUUGUUGUUCGGUGUGAGCCAAGGCUCCGUGUUGAAGGCCGUACAUUGACCUAUAAUGGUUUACUUUUUUAAAUUGUUAUUUGGAUGGAGAGUUGUCUCAUUGGCACUCACACCACAUCUUCCUAUAUCUAUUCAACAAUACACUGUCCUUAAAUUGUAUCAAGCUAAAAUAGCACUGUGUCUAAAAAAAAUUGACAGAGACCAUCGAAGAUGUACAAU